Molecule: long non-coding RNA, 365 nt
Organism: Cygnus olor (mute swan)
Lineage: Eukaryota; Metazoa; Chordata; Aves; Anseriformes; Anatidae
Exons: 3
Source: RefSeq, a predicted model, not a curated record
GGACCUGCAAAAUGGGAGAUUUUUCUCAAAGAACACCAGGAUGACGAGAUUACAGGCUCACUUGGCAUUCUCGCACUGCUCCUUGCAACACAGAGGUCUUCCUGUUUUAUUGACAUCAAUAUUUCCACCAGCAAUGGGUUCAUUUCACCAGUUUGACACAACGCAUCUGUUUUGGACAAUUGUGUGACACUGUAAGUCCCCUUGGUCACUGCUGAGUUAACGAUUCAAUAGAGGAAUCCUCUCUAAUGCUGAAAGUCACGUUGACUCUGAAAGAUACCUAAGUUAAAAAAAAGAACAGGAGGACAUGAGCAUCACCUGCAAAUGUUUGCUGAGCAAAGCACUCUGUUUAUCUCCACUGUGUUACU